RNAcentral lists this ribosomal RNA (252 nucleotides) under uncultured bacterium. Its description in RNAcentral is "partial 16S ribosomal RNA". It matches the Rfam family "Bacterial small subunit ribosomal RNA", at positions 524 to 776 of the family's 1533-position model. The record is from RNAcentral.
UACGUAGGUGGCGAGCGUUAUCCGGAUUUAUUGGGCGUAAAGCGAGCGCAGGUGGUUUAUUAAGUCUGGUGUAAAAGGCAGUGGCUCAACCAUUGUAUGCAUUGGAAACUGGUAGACUUGAGUGCAGGAGAGGAGAGUGGAAUUCCAUGUGUAGCGGUGCAAUGCGUAGAUAUAUGGAGGAACACCGGUGGCGAAAGCGGCUCUCUGGCCUGUAACUGACACUGAGGCUCGAAAGCGUGGGGAGCAAACAGG